RNAcentral lists this long non-coding RNA (505 nucleotides) under Brassica rapa (field mustard). RNAcentral's name for it is "long non-coding RNA (BRAP_LNC006825)". The record is from RNAcentral. Lineage: Eukaryota; Viridiplantae; Streptophyta; Magnoliopsida; Brassicales; Brassicaceae.
AGAACCCUAACAUGUUAUCAUCAUGUGUAGCCGCUAUAGAGAUUAUGGGCAAGUGGAAGAUGAACAGGGACACACCAGUCUUCACCGGCAUGCAAGUCGUCGCCGGAAUUCUAACCGGAGUCUACCGAAACACACCGGAAACAGGACAUAAGGAAAGUCACCGCCGCCAACAACUUGAGCAGAAUUAAAGUAUUGGGAUUUCAACAGACCAAUGCUUCAGCGAAGAAAUCAGUCGCAAGCUUACCGGAUAAAUCAUCAGAUACUCCAUUUUCACAACGAAUCAUCUUUAAAGAUAUAAGUAAGAUCGAAGAUGAAAACAACCCUAACAAAUGGAAAGGAGAAGACAAUCCGAUGAGAAGGAUAAUAAGCAGACUGAAACUAAAAACUGAACAGGAAGGCAAAUUAGAGAAGAUACAAAACAAAAAAUUUCUGAGAAACCCAGAAUCCACCUAGCUAAAACAACAUCUAGAAAGAUGAUGAGUAACUAGAAGAUGAGCCGGCCAAG